This is a long non-coding RNA of Pyrus x bretschneideri (Chinese white pear), 1540 nucleotides long. RefSeq lists it as uncharacterized. The record is from RefSeq and is a predicted model, not a curated record. The transcript is spliced from 2 exons. NCBI's taxonomy places the organism in Eukaryota, Viridiplantae, Streptophyta, Magnoliopsida, Rosales, Rosaceae.
UACUAAUAGAAUAAUUAAUGAAAUAUAAACGAGAUGACCAAAUUGACGUGCAAUCAUAAAAUUCAAGAACAACAUUAAUCACAUUAGAAAGUAAAUAGAGAAAAGUGGGUAAGGAGUGGGUAGUCGCGAUUUUCGGAGGGCGAUUUAUGAAUUUACUGUAUUUUGAGGGGUGGCAGAGCAAAUUUAUGGAUCCCUUUCGGGGUUUUGUGAACAAAGACAGGUAGCAAACAUUCAUAUUCCUCACCUCUUCACUCCUUUCACUCCUCCCUGAUGCCCUUCGUCUUGCUACCCUACGAAUCAGGUCAAUAUCCCUCUCUCUCUAAAGCUUGAUUUUGUUUGUAAUUGAUUUGGGGUUUAUUUUAGGGUUAGGAAAUUUGGGAUUUAUAGUUAGGGUUAGGCAAUUUGGGGAUUGAUUUUCGUAGUUUCAAUUGUGCAUGAAGUUGUUUUAGGCUGUAGUGAAAGCAUACUUUGUAGUAAAUUUGAUCGAGAUUCUUGUAGUUAUGCACACACUCUGUGUAUUUGUUAAUGUGAUAACAAUGUAUAAUGCUGACAAACUGGGAAGCAAGGAUGGUGAUUAUGUCUCUUCGUUCUAUGCUCCAAAAGCUAGGGACUAAUCGGUCCACUUACAGUAACAUUAGAAGUGCCGUGCUUAGGGCUUCUCAGAGCGCUGCUGUCAACAACAAUUCCAGAAAUCCGGAGGCCAAGCCCAUGUCUUCAGUAGAGUCUAGUGCUGGUUGUUGUUGUCACCAUGUUUUUGAUGAUGGAUACCUCGCAAUGCAAUUGACGACGACGGCCCCUAGCCUUCCCUGUUCUGGGCAGAAUGCCCAACUGCAGUUUAUUAGAAUGUUGUGUGCUAACAGGUGGAGGCGUAACAAUGGUCCUCAUUACAUGUAUUUUAUAUUGCUCGAGGCAAUGAUGGUGGUGAGCUGAAAGUCUACCAGGUACAUGUUUCGCCAGAUUUCACUAGCGGCAUGUCUUUGCAAUUCCUCGAUUGUGUCGUGGAGAAGGGGUCUCCUGUAAAACUAUUUGAUCCCCUAGGUAAGUGUGGCAAGCUACUUCCAUUAAUUUUGUCAUGGAUUUAUUUCUUAGCGCGGAAGAAUGUAGGCGUACAUUGAUCAAUCUAUGGGUUUCUUUGAAACAAAUAACUUUUGGGACUGAAGGUGGUUCACUGUGGCUGCUGAAAGAAGCAUCAAUUAGAAAUCGGUUUUUAAUUAGGGAAUUGUUACUGGCACUCCAAAAAUCUCAUUCUACAUUCCUCACAGGUGUAUUUUUCCUUCAAAAUAUAAAAAGUUUGGAGUGUAGAAUGAGAUUUUUGGAGUGUCAAUAACAAUUCCCUUUAAUUAAAGAAGACUAGUGAAAGUGGAUGACUCUUACCUGCUAUGGUGUCGCAACAUCGUAACCCUAACCCUACCUUGCAGACUUCUCUAUAUUAUUUCAACUUUGUUGUGGGACAUUGUAUUAUAUGUAGUAUGAAGUAUGAAACUUUGGCUGGCAUGCCUUUCUCAUCAAUUUGAACUCAAUGCAGCAAAUUUUAUUGCUA